CCCCUGGUAAUAUAGUUGGGUCUAAUAUAGGCGGCUGUCGCUCGCCCGACCCGAGUUCAAAUCCGGCCAGGCCC
This 74-nucleotide transfer RNA is filed under the name Candidatus Bathyarchaeota archaeon. RNAcentral's name for it is "tRNA-Asp". The record is from RNAcentral. Lineage: Archaea; Thermoproteati; Candidatus Bathyarchaeota.